CCUGGCUCAGGACGAACGCUGGCGGCGUGCCUAAUACAUGCAAGUAGAACGCUGAAGGAGGAGCUUGCUCUUCUGGAAGAGUUGCGAACGGGUGAGUAACGCGUAGGUAACCUGCCUGGUAGCGGGGGAUAACUAUUGGAAACGAUAGCUAAUACCGCAUAAUAUUGAAUAUCGCAUGAUAAUUGAUUAAAAGAUGCAAUUGCAUCACUACCAGAUGGACCUGCGUUGUAUUAGCUAGUAGGUGAGGUAACGGCUCACCUAGGCGACGAUACAUAGCCGACCUGAGAGGGUGAUCGGCCACACUGGGACUGAGACACGGCCCAGACUCCUACGG
RNAcentral lists this ribosomal RNA (334 nucleotides) under uncultured bacterium. RNAcentral describes it as "bacterial SSU rRNA". It matches the Rfam family "Bacterial small subunit ribosomal RNA", at positions 18 to 344 of the family's 1533-position model. The record is from RNAcentral.